CAAACAGCCCCCAGCUUACACCUGGAAGACGUCAUAGCAGACCUUCUUGAG
RNAcentral lists this transfer RNA (51 nucleotides) under Phyllodactylus galapagensis (Galapagos leaf-toed gecko). RNAcentral describes it as "partial tRNA-Val". Lineage: Eukaryota; Metazoa; Chordata; Lepidosauria; Squamata; Phyllodactylidae. The record is from RNAcentral.